GGGGCCGUAGCCCAAUUGGCAGAGGCAUGCGACUUAGGAUCGCACCAGUGUGGGUUCAAGUCCCGCCGGCCCUA
This 74-nucleotide transfer RNA is filed under the name Micromonospora sp. Llam0. It matches the Rfam family "tRNA". Rfam says of the family: Transfer RNA (tRNA) molecules are approximately 80 nucleotides in length. Their secondary structure includes four short double-helical elements and three loops (D, anti-codon, and T loops). Further hydrogen bonds mediate the characteristic L-shaped molecular structure. tRNAs have two regions of fundamental functional importance: the anti-codon, which is responsible for specific mRNA codon recognition, and the 3' end, to which the tRNAs corresponding amino acid is attached (by aminoacyl-tRNA synthetases). tRNAs cope with the degeneracy of the genetic code in two manners: having more than one tRNA (with a specific anti-codon) for a particular amino acid; and 'wobble' base-pairing, i.e. permitting non-standard base-pairing at the 3rd anti-codon position. RNAcentral also lists the same sequence under 13 other names. Lineage: Bacteria; Bacillati; Actinomycetota; Actinomycetes; Micromonosporales; Micromonosporaceae. The record is from Rfam by way of RNAcentral.